Molecule: ribosomal RNA, 801 nt
Filed under: uncultured Gemmatimonadota bacterium
Lineage: Bacteria; Pseudomonadati; Gemmatimonadota
Description: bacterial SSU rRNA
Rfam family: Bacterial small subunit ribosomal RNA
Source: RNAcentral
CAAGUCAAGGGGGCCCAGCAAUGGGCAACCGGCGAACGGGUGCGUAACACGUGAGCAACCUACCCAGGUGUGGGGGAUAGCCGUCCCAACGGACGGGUAAUACCGCAUACGCUCUUCUUUAGGCAUUUAGAGGAGAGGAAACCUUCGGGGCACCAUGAGGGGCUCGCGGCCUAUCAGCUAGUUGGCGAGGUAACGGCUCACCAAGGCUACGACGGGUAGCUGGUCUGAGAGGAUGACCAGCCACAUUGGGACUGAGAAACGGCCCAGACUCCUACGGGAGGCAGCAGUGGGGAAUCUUGCGCAAUGGCCUAACGGCUGACGCAGCGACGCCGCGUGAGGGAUGACGCUCUUCGGAGUGUAAACCUCUUUUGCCUGGAACGAAUUGCGAGCAUUCGCUCGCUUGACGGUACCGGGUGAAUAAGCACCGGCUAACUCCGUGCCAGCAGCCGCGGUAAUACGGGGGGUGCGAGCGUUGUCCGGAAUCACUGGGCGUAAAGGGCGCGUAGGUGGCGUGAUAAGGGUGUGGGUGAAAGCCCGGGGCUCAACCCCGGGUCGGCCAUGCCGACUGUCAGGCUAGAGUGCUGUAGGGGCAGGCGGAAUUCCGGGUGUAGCGGUGGAAUGCGUAGAGAUCCGGAGGAAGACCGGUGGCGAAGGCGGCCUGCUGGGCAGUUACUGACACUGAGUGCGCGACAGCGUGGGGAGCAAACAGGAUUAGAUACCCUGGUAGUCCACGCCGUAAACGAUGGGUACUAGGUGCCUGGGGGAGCGACCCCUUGGGUGCCGGCGCUAACGCAGGAAGUA